AAUAUGUGUUAUGUAUAACGAGAAAUAAUGUUUAGUUUAUAAUAUAUAAAGAGAUCAGAAUCGAUGCUUAAUUUUUAUUUACAUAGACUAGAAAACCUUGAUCACGGUUACAAUAAUAGAUAUUUUUUAUAAUUUUGUUUAAGAAUAAAAUAUUAUAAUGCAAUAAAAAUGUAGUGAAAUUCGUUAAGGAAGAGAGUAGUGGUUGCAAGAAGGGAGUAAAAGUCAAAUCGCUUUUCUUGACGCUUUUUAAAUCUCAUGCCGAAGAUAAUAGCGGAAAUAUAUGAUAUGUAUGUAUUAUAUAAAGAAUAUUUUCAAAAAACAUGAACGUCUUCUAAUAAAUCAUUUGGUGAAAGUUAAAGCAUGUUGUUUAGUCUUACAAUUGAAUACCCAAUUAAUGUAGCUGUCAAAUAAGAUAAGGUAUAAAACUGACAAAAUAAAAUGUCUGGAAAUACCUCAAAUGUUACCUCAAACAGCAUAUUUUCAAUAUAUCCGUAAUAGAUACGCGAAUGAUAGGAUUAGUGGACAAAAUAAUUGUGUCCUUUGAUUUUAAUUAUUUCAGUUAACCUUUACGGUCUUAACAAUUUAUAUUUAGUAUAUAAGUAUGAUUCCAGUUGACAGUAAUAAUUGCUACACGUUACGUUAUAGUAGUAGUCGACUGAUUAUCCAAAUGUUCUUGCUAGAGGUUUAGAUCGCCAAGUUUGUAAAUUACCUAUU
This is a non-coding RNA of Cinara cedri, 714 nucleotides long. Lineage: Eukaryota; Metazoa; Arthropoda; Insecta; Hemiptera; Aphididae. The record is from the annotation of a GenBank genome assembly.